This 1864-nucleotide long non-coding RNA is filed under the name Daphnia magna. RNAcentral describes it as "uncharacterized LOC123474689". The record is from RNAcentral. Lineage: Eukaryota; Metazoa; Arthropoda; Branchiopoda; Diplostraca; Daphniidae.
UGAAUUUCUUAAAAACUGUAAUUACAUUCUUAUUACAUUCUUAUUAUUAAAUUAGAAAUUAUAUUAUUUGUUUCAUUGUUAAAAUGAAGUACAAUAUCUUGAAUUUGUAAUCAGCCAAAAAUCCAAAAUGGCAGCCUCUUAGUGUGUUUGUUGUAUGAUAGAAUUAGUCUGCUACGCCUACAACUUUACGCCGUUCACGUUUCUUCACACAUAUUCGUACAGUGAAAAUGGCUGAUCCUGGAGAUCGAAAGACGAAAAAGUCUUUUGUUUCACAGGGCAGUUGAAGACUUACCUCGUUGGAAAGCAACUGAGCUUAAGUUGGAUCAAAAUUAUUUAGGACCCGUAGUAUACAAAAAAUACUUGAGCUCCACCAGUUACGACCACUUCAUGCUACUUCACGUGGCAAUAAGGCUGUUGACUAACAGAGAUUCGUGCAGGCGCGAUGCAAAUUAUGCAAAUGAUUUGUUGAGAUUGUUUGUUAGCAAUAGUGCAAAUAUUUAUGGAGAAAAAUUCAUUUCACACAAUGUUCAUUCGCUAAUCCACUUAUCUCAGGACGUGAUGAUACAUGGAUGUUUAGACGACUUUGCAGCAUUUUGCUUUGAAAACAAAUUGCAAACAAUGAAAAACAUGUUUAAAAAAAGUGGUCGGCCUCUUCAACAAAUUGUUAGGAGAUUAGACGAGGAAGCACGCCAUACUUUUAUGAACCAGAACAGUCGACGAUUUGUAGAAGGCUUUAAGCUGGAAAAAUCACAUACAUCUGGUCCCAUAAUCCCUGCGCUCAUUUCCGGGAAACAAUUCAAAUUACUGCUAUUCAAAUAUUCUAAGUUAUCCGUCGCUAUCCCUGAUAAUUGUGUCCUUAUUAAUGGCCCACCAAAAAUGAUCGUUUUGAUUGAUAAUUUUGUAAAAAUGACUGAUGGAAAGAUUUAUGUUGUGGGAAAAAAUUUGAACAACAAGGGGAUUUCUUUACAUACCCGUUAUCAUCCAGUUGUUUAGAUGAAUUUCUUGUCUCUGGUUUGUCCCUCACAAGUGAAUCAUUUUUAUUGUCAUCCGUUCUGUCUAAAUGUAUUCUUCUUCCAACUAGUCUUCCAGAAACAGGGUCGUUUUUCGCAUCUGCCAUAAUUAAUAUGAAUGUGAAUUGAUUUCGUGUAAUUAUUAUCAAAAUCAAUACAUGGAUAGUCCCUUGUUUGUACGGCAAUCAGAAAUUAAUUUAUUCAAAUCAGUACCCAUAAAUGAAUCGACUAUUGUUGUCCAUCCAUCUCGGAUACACAAAAUUUGUGAUUUAUAUCCUAGUUAGUACAUAGUACGGACAUACUUCGUCGAUAAUCUGCGAUAUCAUUAUCUCAUUCCAAUUGCAUUCGAAAAAAUACAUAAAUUAGACAUCCGUUUUCUAUUCGACUCGGACAAGGCCAUUUUAAAAUCAGAUCCCAUUUUAUAUAUUGUCUGGAUAUUCCUCUCCCAUGACUAUUGGAUGUAUACGCUUUAUUCAAAUAGCAGCCGAAUUUUUACCAAAAAGGGACAUACCUAGUUCAUCCGUGUAGGAAUAGUUCAUUUAUUCAAAUCUUAUCCCAAUCUUUAUAUGGAAGGGACGUACCAUCUCGGUUGGUAAUGAUUAACCCAACUUGGUACAUCUAACGAAUGUUAAAAGCAUAUACAAAUCAUGUACCAUCUGGGAUGGCAAUCUUUAACCCGACUUGGUACAUAUAACGAAUGUUAUAAGGAUAUUCGACUCGGAUAACUUCACCUUUUCCAAAAACCAUCCCAAUAUUGACGUAUUAUUAACGUACUCUGAUCAUCCCAUCGCCGACGUACUGGAUCGGGAUGUGUUUAUGUUGUUGGGACGUCCCAAGGAUGAGGCGUGCCAGUA